Molecule: ribosomal RNA, 789 nt
Filed under: Cyathus poeppigii
Lineage: Eukaryota; Fungi; Basidiomycota; Agaricomycetes; Agaricales; Nidulariaceae
Description: eukaryotic LSU rRNA
Rfam family: Eukaryotic large subunit ribosomal RNA
Source: RNAcentral
CGAGUGAAGCGGGAAAAGCUCAAAUUUAAAAUCUGGUGGUCCUUGGCCAUCCGAGUUGUAAUCUAGAGAAGUGUUACCCGCGUUGGACCGUGUACAAGUCUCCUGGAAUGGAGCGUCAUAGAGGGUGAGAAUCCCGUCUUUGACACGGACUACCAAGGCUUUGUGGUGCGCUCUCAACGAGUCGAGUUGUUUGGGAAUGCAGCUCAAAAUGGGUGGUAAAUUCCAUCUAAAGCUAAAUACAGGCGAGAGACCGAUAGCGAACAAGUACCGUGAGGGAAAGAUGAAAAGAACUUUGGAAAGAGAGUUAAACAGUACGUGAAAUUGCUGAAAGGGAAACGCUGGAAGUCAGUCGCGUUGGCUAGGAAUCAACCUUGCUCUUUUGCAGGGCUUACUUCUUAGUUGACGGGCCAACAUCAAUUUUGACCAUUGGAGAAAGGCUCAGGAAAUGUGGCACCUUCGGGUGUGUUAUAGUCCUGGGUUGUAUACAGUGGUUGGGAUUGAGGAACGCAGCACGCCGCAAGGUUGGGUUUCGACCACACCCGUGCUUCGGAUGUUGGCAUAAUGGCUUUCAUCGACCCGUCUUGAAACACGGACCAAGGAGUCUAACAUGCCUGCGAGUGUUUGAGUGGAAAACUCGAGCGCACAAUGAAAGUAAAAGUUGAGAUCUCUGUCAUGGAGAGCAUCGACGCCCGGACCUGAUGUUUACUGACGGUUCUGCGGUAGAGCAUGUAUGUUGGGACCCGAAAGAUGGUGAACUAUGCCUGAAUAGGGUGAAGCCAGAGGAAACUC